This is a microRNA precursor of Astatotilapia calliptera (eastern happy), 59 nucleotides long. NCBI's taxonomy places the organism in Eukaryota, Metazoa, Chordata, Actinopteri, Cichliformes, Cichlidae. The record is from Ensembl.
CCUGCAUUGUACACACUGUGCGUAUAAAUGUCAUAAGCACAGCGCAUACAAUGUGGAUG